RNAcentral lists this ribosomal RNA (486 nucleotides) under uncultured bacterium. RNAcentral's name for it is "partial 16S ribosomal RNA". It matches the Rfam family "Bacterial small subunit ribosomal RNA", at positions 899 to 1397 of the family's 1533-position model. The record is from RNAcentral.
ACUCAAAUGAAUUGACGGGGGCCCGCACAAGCAGCGGAGCGUGUGGUUUAAUUCGAUGCGACGCGAAGAACCUUACCUGGGUUUGACAUGCGCCUGCACCACCCGUAAUGGGGUGUCCCCUUCGGGGGCGGGCGCACAGGUGCUGCAUGGCUGUCGUCAGCUCGUGCCGUGAGGUGUUGGGUUAAGUCCCCUAACGAGCGCAACCCCUGGGGUCCGUUACAUGCUUUCGGGCUCGACUGCCGCGCGCAACGCGGAGGAAGGCGGGGAUGACGUCAAGUCAGCACGGCCCUUACGUCCAGGGCGACACACACGCUACAAUGGCCGGUACAAUGGGUCGCCAAGCCGCGAGGUGGAGCCAAUCCCAACAAAGCCGGUCUCAGUUCGGAUUGCAGGCUGCAACUCGCCUGCAUGAAGCUGGAGUUGCUAGUAACCGCGGGUCAGCACACCGCGGUGAAUACGUUCCCGGGCCUUGUACACACCGCCCGU